UCCGCCCGCCUCGGCCUCCCAAACUGCUGGGAUAACAGGCAUGAGCCACCGCGCCUGCCCAGUCAAAAGAUAUUUUCAAUAGCACAGUAAACUCUACGCUAGGACACAAAAUUGUUACAAAUCAAAUCACGUUGCUUUUUUUUUUUGCUCUGUCACCCAGACUGUCUCAAAAAAAGAAGAACCUAAGAAAAUAUACCUCUUCUUCAAAUGUAGAGAAAUCUAAAAUGUUUCAUCUACCUCCCAAUAUUUAAAAUAAGGAAAGAGAACAUAGAAGUUCUUCCAUAAAUACAAUUAAAGCCAAUAUAACACCGGGCGCAGUGGCUCACACCUGGUAAUCCCAACACUUCGGGAGGCUGAGGUGGGAGUAUCGCUUUAGGCCAGGA
Molecule: long non-coding RNA, 383 nt
Organism: Cercocebus atys (sooty mangabey)
Lineage: Eukaryota; Metazoa; Chordata; Mammalia; Primates; Cercopithecidae
Exons: 3
Source: RefSeq, a predicted model, not a curated record